This 497-nucleotide ribosomal RNA is filed under the name uncultured bacterium. RNAcentral describes it as "partial 16S ribosomal RNA". It matches the Rfam family "Bacterial small subunit ribosomal RNA", at positions 28 to 507 of the family's 1533-position model. The record is from RNAcentral.
GAUCAACGCUGGCGGCGUGCCUAAUACAUGCAAGUCGAGCGAACAGACGAGGAGCUUGCUCCUCUGAUGUUAGCGGCGGACGGGUGAGUAACACGUGGAUAACCUACCUAUAAGCCUGGGAUAACUUCGGGAAACCGGAGCUAAUACCGGAUAACAUGUUGAACCGCAUGGUUCAACAGUGAAAGACGGUCUUGCUGUCACUUAUAGAUGGAUCCGCGCCGCAUUAGCUAGUUGGUAAGGUAACGGCUUACCAAGGCAACGAUGCGUAGCCGACCUGAGAGGGUGAUCGGCCACACUGGAACUGAGACACGGUCCAGACUCCUACGGGAGGCAGCAGUAGGGAAUCUUCCGCAAUGGGCGAAAGCCUGACGGAGCAACGCCGCGUGAGUGAAGAAGGUCUUCGGAUCGUAAAACUCUGUUAUUAGGGAAGAACAAAUGUGUAAGUAACUAUGCACGUCUUGACGGUACCUAAUCAGAAAGCCACGGCUAACUACGUG